This 384-nucleotide long non-coding RNA is filed under the name Fukomys damarensis (Damara mole-rat). RNAcentral's name for it is "lncRNA (ENSFDAG00000026147.1)". Lineage: Eukaryota; Metazoa; Chordata; Mammalia; Rodentia; Bathyergidae. The record is from RNAcentral.
AGAUCACCCAGGAGGGUGUCCAGGAGGUUCCCAGGUGGGCGGUAACUAUGGAGAUGAUUGUUGUUAUGGCACAAGAGGCUAUGAUUGAGGUGGCUACAAGGACUGUGGAAGGGAUGACGGUGGGGACUUCUGAGGAAGCUGAUGGUGGGAGAGAGGCAGCUUCAGGCGUGGCAAGAUGCACGCCAGCGAUGAGCCAGACAGGAGAGGCGACAGUAGUCUGGCUCUGAGAUGCUGGGACAACUUUCCUUCCGUCACAACGAUUGAAAACAUAUCUGAGAAACAAACACAUAUACGAGAAAUCCCUGAAGGAAGAACAUCAAUAAAUAGGACAAUCCCUACUUCUGUUCAGACAACAAAGUAGCUUCCAAGAAAAGCAGGUAAGAC